Hevea brasiliensis (rubber tree) is the source of this 705-nucleotide long non-coding RNA. RefSeq lists it as uncharacterized. The record is from RefSeq and is a predicted model, not a curated record. NCBI's taxonomy places the organism in Eukaryota, Viridiplantae, Streptophyta, Magnoliopsida, Malpighiales, Euphorbiaceae. The transcript has 2 exons.
UUUAAAAUUUAUUAAAUUUAAUUUUAAAUUAUUUUUUGAUACUCUUUAAAAAAGUGAUUUUUUUUUUCGAUUAUAAUUUUCACAAUAAUAUUAAACAGGUCUUCCAUCUCGGAAACGCUAGUCGGCGGGUAUCCCAACGAGUGAGGCCACCCGGGCCCAACUCAGGUGGUAAGGGGAGGUUGGGACUGAAAUAUCGUUGCAGUCAUAGCCUCGAUCUCACGCAUUCUUCCCCACUUCUCAGAGUCAAAACCCAUGCGCCUCUCUCGACAUACCAACGUACACAGAGAAAUCCAUAUAUCCGCGAAGAAUAUCCAUUGUUUCCCAACGACGGUUAAACCUCCAAACAUGUGCCGUUUUACUUACAUCCUUCUAACUCUAGGCAACAAAUCUCAACCAACGGCAGCCUCCCUUGUAUCUGGAAUAGAGCGAAUCGAAAGGAGAGAAGAUUCCCCAAGUUUUAUUGUUUCUCAUUUUAUUUCCAGUUUUCAAUUCGGUUUGUUUUGUUUUCAAUUCUAUGUUUUACUGUUUCUCAUUCAAUUUGAAAAUAAGAAGAAUUGUUGGUUGUAUUUGAUUGCUAAUUUUGUUUACUUGAAAUCUGUUUGAAUAAUCUGUUACUAGAGAUAAUCUGUUUUGUUUGCUUUGAAAUCAAUAGACAUUGGCUGAGAUUUGGAAGAAUAGAUAAACCAAACCAACCAAUUUCAUUCA